RNAcentral lists this long non-coding RNA (337 nucleotides) under Prunus persica (peach). RNAcentral's name for it is "long non-coding RNA (PPER_LNC007367)". Lineage: Eukaryota; Viridiplantae; Streptophyta; Magnoliopsida; Rosales; Rosaceae. The record is from RNAcentral.
UUACACUCAAUUUCUCUUGGUCAUAAUUUCAGUUUUAGUUUUACUAUUAUGGGGAACUAACUUCCUAACUAAGGGCAAGUGGAGUAUAUAUAGCUUAGUUAGUUGAGCUUUUUCACAUCCAACUAUCUGGGCAGAGGUUAGAAACCCCCAGACAUCCAAUGAAUAUUUGUAUAAACCCUCUCCUCCAAUUAGGGAUGGCAAUGGGUCCGAAUCGGGGGUGAGUAUAUGAUUCACAUCCCCAUUCCCAUUAAUCAUUUUUCCCUCAAUCCCGCCUUCAUACUCACAAUAUUCAAAUCGGGGAUUCUUCAUAUCCGCCAUCGUUGAAGAACGAGUUCUU